RNAcentral lists this ribosomal RNA (305 nucleotides) under uncultured bacterium. RNAcentral describes it as "bacterial SSU rRNA". It matches the Rfam family "Bacterial small subunit ribosomal RNA", at positions 335 to 656 of the family's 1533-position model. The record is from RNAcentral.
GUACCUACGGGAGGCAGCAGUGGGGAAUAUUGGGCAAUGGGCGCAAGCCUUACCCAGCAAUACCGCGUGAGUGAAGAAGGUCUCCGGAUUGUAAAGCCCUUUGAUCAGGGACGAACAGAUGACGGUACCUGAAGAACAAGCCCCGGCUAACUACGUGCCAGCAGCCGCAGUAAAACGUAGGGGGCGAGCGUUGUCCGGAAUGACUGGGCGUAAAGGGUGCGUAGGCGGGCUUUUAAGUCAGCGGUAAAAAUUCGGGGCUCAACCCCGUCCGGUCGUUGAAACUGGGGGCCUUGAGUGGGCGAGAA